CCUACGGGAGGCAGCAGUAGGGAAUAUUGCUCAAUGGGGGAAACCCUGAAGCAGCAACGCCGCGUGGAGGAUGAAGGUUUUCGGAUUGUAAACUCCUUUUGUUAGAGAAGAUAAUGACGGUAUCUAACGAAUAAGCACCGGCUAACUCCGUGCCAGCAGCCGCGGUAAUACGGAGGGUGCAAGCGUUACUCGGAAUCACUGGGCGUAAAGAGGGCGUAGGCGGGAUAGAAAGUCAGAUGUGAAAUCCUAUGGCUUAACCAUAAAACUGCAUUUGAAACUGUUAUUCUAGAGUAUGGGAGAGGUAGGUGGAAUUCUUGGUGUAGGGGUAAAAUCCGUAGAGAUCAAGAGGAAUACUCAUUGCGAAGGCGACCUGCUAGAACAUAACUGACGCUGAUGCGCGAAAGCGUGGGGAGCAAACAGGAUUAGAUACCCCAGUAGUC
Molecule: ribosomal RNA, 440 nt
Filed under: uncultured bacterium
Lineage: Bacteria
Description: partial 16S ribosomal RNA
Rfam family: Bacterial small subunit ribosomal RNA
Source: RNAcentral